GACAAAAGUUUCUUAGAAAGCCCCCUUGCUACCAGAAAGAUCUCUUUAACUUGUCUUUAUGGGUUAAAAAGCUGGCUUGCUAUUUAAUCUAAACACCAAGGAGCCAUAGGAAUAUUCAUCUUAACAGUCUGGCUCUGGGUAAAGCUGAGAUAAACUUUAAUUGAUUUUGUUUGAAAUUGUCAACAGUUUUGCUUUAACAUUGGAAUUUCGUGAUCCUUAGCAUACUGUCCAGUUUUCCAUCGCUUUUAGCUUAUCAUUUCUCGUUCAUGUGGGAGCGUUUUGGAGACGCUUAGUGACUUGGAGAAUUUUUUUGUUUAUGUCAUGCGUUAUAGCAUUGCUUGAAUUCACUUGAUGCUUUGUUAUGCUCAAUUACUGUUAAUUGGGUGUUGCACAUAGUAACUGAAAAGACAUGUGCUUCUGUUUAUUUGAUACCAAAUAAGAAAUAACUUUUUGUAUCUCCAUCUUUAAGGUAGCCUAUAGAAUCAUAGAAAGAAAAGACAUCUGUUAAAUGAUAAAACAUAUUUAUCUGUCAUUG
Molecule: unclassified non-coding RNA, 535 nt
Filed under: Hevea brasiliensis (rubber tree)
Lineage: Eukaryota; Viridiplantae; Streptophyta; Magnoliopsida; Malpighiales; Euphorbiaceae
Source: RNAcentral